CUGCCUUGUCGGAAAAAGAUUCAAGUGGUGGUUCCGACUUAUUUGAGGAGCUCAUGUGAAGGUGUCUCAUCCAUUUCUAUGGAUCCAGUUAGCUUCAUGAAGGUUCAGGGAAGGUGAUGGAGUGUUUUUGUUGUGUUGAAAAUGGCUCAAAGGUUCCAACCGAAUGCUCUAUUUUUUAGGGAAGUGAAGUGUCAUUUUUGCAGUGUUUCAAUGGCUGUAAAGCUUGGUUAUUUGGAGGGAGAAGGAUGCUCUAUAUAUAAG
Molecule: long non-coding RNA, 261 nt
Filed under: Lathyrus oleraceus (garden pea)
Lineage: Eukaryota; Viridiplantae; Streptophyta; Magnoliopsida; Fabales; Fabaceae
Description: Pisum sativum (pea) long non-coding RNA (PSAT_LNC025415)
Source: RNAcentral